UUAAGUUCAGCGGGUAUUCCUACCUGAUCCGAGGUCAACCUUGUGGUAAUGGAUGUCCCGCGGGGGGGACGGCGACCGGGUCUGGACUUCUAGCCGUGUACGUGCCCGAAAGCUCAGUGUACAGGAGUCGUCGCAGACGCCGUCAUUAUCUUUGGGGAGGAGUGGGAUAAGCGCUGCAUCCAACAACAAGCCGGGCUUGA
RNAcentral lists this unclassified non-coding RNA (200 nucleotides) under Chaetothyriales sp. RNAcentral describes it as "partial internal transcribed spacer 2". Lineage: Eukaryota; Fungi; Ascomycota; Eurotiomycetes; Chaetothyriales. The record is from RNAcentral.